AGGGAUGUAGCUCAGUUGGUAGAGUGCUUGUCUUGCAUUUAGAAGGCCCUGGGUUCAAUCCCCAGCACCAUUU
Molecule: transfer RNA, 73 nt
Filed under: Ictidomys tridecemlineatus (thirteen-lined ground squirrel)
Lineage: Eukaryota; Metazoa; Chordata; Mammalia; Rodentia; Sciuridae
Description: Spermophilus tridecemlineatus (thirteen-lined ground squirrel) tRNA
Rfam family: tRNA
About the family: Transfer RNA (tRNA) molecules are approximately 80 nucleotides in length.
Source: Rfam by way of RNAcentral